Solea solea (common sole) is the source of this 598-nucleotide long non-coding RNA. RefSeq lists it as uncharacterized. The record is from RefSeq and is a predicted model, not a curated record. Lineage: Eukaryota; Metazoa; Chordata; Actinopteri; Pleuronectiformes; Soleidae. The transcript has 4 exons.
CGCAGUUUGUGGAGUGAGGAGUGAUGGCUUGAAACCGGGGCUGUUCUUAAAAGUCCUGCUUCCUAUAUUGCAGGUGGGUUCUCCUCUCCGUGAUGGCUGCAGAGAUGAGACAGAGAAGAAACCGAGUCAAGGUCGGGUUGGAGAUCCUGGAAAAAACUGUUCAAGCAGGCUGCAUUUUGAAUUCAUUUUGACUUCCCUCCAAAGCUUCAGAGCACAGAUUCACGAGCACUGCGCAGCAUGGACUCUCGCUCAUCCACUUGAAGCUUAACUGGACUUUUAAAACAGACGGUUGACAAGCAAACACACAUGCAGCAGUCUGAGUGACAAUGUUCGCAUUGUUUGCCGGCGUCGAGAUGUGAAGGUCCUGCACCCAACUGUGAGUUAACUGUACAUUAGAGGCUAAAGAAUCGAAGUUUUUAAAUCACACCACAAACACGGUAAGCGAAGAUGUCUGCUGUGCACAGCGGAGGAAGCAUGUUCCGAUCACAACAUGGAUAAGAAUCCACAGUGCAAUGACAAAAACACAGGACAUACAGCAUUACAUGUGACACAUAUUGGCAUAAAUUGAAUGAUCACAGAUCUGCUUCCUCUUUAGCUG